Molecule: ribosomal RNA, 515 nt
Filed under: uncultured bacterium
Lineage: Bacteria
Description: partial 16S ribosomal RNA
Rfam family: Bacterial small subunit ribosomal RNA
Source: RNAcentral
GAUGAACGCUGGCGGCGCGCCUAAUACAUGCAAGUCGAGCGAAUGGAUUAAGAGCUUGCUCUUAUGAAGUUAGCGGCGGACGGGUGAGUAACACGUGGGUAACCUGCCCAUAAGACUGGGAUAACUCCGGGAAACCGGGGCUAAUCCCGGAUAACAUUUUGAACCGCAUGGUGCGAAAUUGAAAGGCGGCUUCGGCUGUCACUUAUGGAUGGAUCUGCGUCGCAUUAGCUAGUUGGUGAGGUAACGGCUCACCAAGGCAACGAUGCGUAGCCGACCUGAGAGGGUGAUCGGCCACACUGGGACUGAGACACGGCCCAGACUCCUACGGGAGGCAGCAGUAGGGAAUCUUCCGCAAUGGACGAAAGUCUGACGGAGCAACGCCGCGUGAGUGAUGAAGGCUUUCGGGUCGUAAAACUCUGUUGUUAGGGAAGAACAAGUGCUAGUUGAAUAAGCUGGCACCUUGACGGUACCUAACCAGAAAGCCACGGCUAACUACGUGCCAGCCGCCGCAGUAA